Molecule: long non-coding RNA, 14746 nt
Organism: Pseudophryne corroboree (corroboree frog)
Lineage: Eukaryota; Metazoa; Chordata; Amphibia; Anura; Myobatrachidae
Exons: 5
Source: RefSeq, a predicted model, not a curated record
UGGCCACCCGGUGAAGUAUGGUGGCGGUAUUCGUAUAGCUGCGGCCGUGACUAACACGUGUGAGUGUUUGCCUGGGUUUGUUAUGGGGUCCGGGGUUCCCGUGGCGACGGUGCAGCUGUUGCAGGGACUCAAGUAGGAAGUGUUCGGUGACUAACUAGCUCCUUUAUUGCAGCUGUAAAGGUUCCCUGGCUGGCGUCUUCUGAGGGAUGGGGGCUGGAGCUGUGGUCGGCUGUGUUUUUCCCCAAAGGAAUGUCCAGGGAAAAGCACCCUCUCCCCCCCCCCUUCUCCCCACUCCUCAGAAGACUCGCUGGACGGCGACGAGAAGUGGGUCCCGACCCAGGAGGAUAUGGCUGACCAGCCAUGGUCAUCCAGCGAGCAGCCGAGGUCACCAAGGGACCAAGGCCGUAGGAGGAAAAAGAAAAGGCAAAGACAGCCAACAAGCCAGCCAGAGGAUCAGUCAGACGGGGAAGCCUCUGGAGAAGAAACAGGGCAGAAGAUUCCGUGUGGACCCCGGUACACGAGGUGGAAAACUGUGUCCUAGUGGAUGGCGUCGACCGGUCCUACGACGUUCUGUAUGGACCAAAGGCAUAGACAACAGCAGCGUAGGCAAAGAGGAAGAUCUGGGAGGCCAUCGUGGAUCAAGUCACUGCAGUAUCUGGAAACCGUCGGGACACCAGAAACUGCAUGAAGCGGUAUAGUGAGUAGUGACUGCCGUAGACAGACCAAGAAAAAGAUGGGGAUUCAGCGCUGACACGAGACAACAACCGGAGGUGGUCCGGCUUUGAAUUUCAAGUGGCUGCCCUGGGAGGAAGUCAUCAAAAGGCGCAUGAACCCUGUCAUGGUCCAAGGAGUUCCAGGCAGUGUGGACUCCACCCACCCUGCUGGCUUUCCUGAGGAAGAACCGCCCUGAAGACGGAUGACGGCGGGAGCCCAGCAGUCCAAAAGGAGGUGUGAUGACACGCCUGCCCAGAGGACGUCACCUGCGCGCAGGACAUCACCAGCGCGCAGACCAUCACCUUUGCGCCGGACAUCACCAGUGCGCCGGACAUCACCAGCAAGCCAGACAUCACCAGCGCGCAGACCAUCACCUGCGUGCUGGACAUCACCCGCUCGCAGACCAUCACCAGCGCACAGACCAUCACCUGCACGCCGGACAUCAACAGCGCGCAGACCAUCACCUGUGCGCCAAACAUCAUCAGUACGCAGAUCUUAACCUGCGCGCAGGGCAUCACCAGCUCGGAACCAAUCCUCCAGGAGCUCAGAGACUGUGACACAAGAACCUCAAGAAAGUGUGACUCUUUAUACUGUGGAACCAUCACCCGACCUGUUUGAGUCCUCGGGAUUCAUGGAUGAGACUUUUCAAGGGUUUGAUGCCAGCCGUGCCAACGCGUCAAUCCCAAGCCAAGAAAUGUCUCAAGAUUUGAGGUCCGGAGAAGCUCCUGGAGCAUUGGCACCAUAGGAUGCAGAAUGAUAAUAUAUGACCAGGCAUGAAGAACACAGGGCGAUUCUGGACGUCCUCCACAUUCUGGUGACAUCCAUCAACAAGCUGGUGGAGAACACGGUAUGUGAGUCACAAAGCUUCCAGAACAUGUCGGAGAGCCAGCGACAGACAGCUUCCAACUCACAGCUCAUCGCAACGGUUCUCCAGUUGAUCUAUGAAAAACUCCCAGGGACAAGUCAACAACAUGUCAUUCAACCACCACCUCCACCACCACCAGCUACACUGACGCCUCCUGCCCUUGCUCCACCACAUCCCUGGUACAGUCACAGCAGUAGCAAGGGUAUGCAGGGAUGUACCCCGUCUACCAGAUGCCUCCACCACCAAUACAGACACCGGCCUCAACAGCUACACCAGCACGCCCAUCAAGGCCUACACAAUGCACUCUACAGCCACCAAGGACACCGUCGCCCCCUCCAGAGGAAGAGGAUCAUGACAGCCCCCACACACAAUAGCGCGGUCAUAUUUUUUCAUUAUUUAAAAUUUUAUUUUUCUGUGCUUCCCUUUUUCUCCCUCCUAUUAGUUUGUUUUUGUCUUUGUAUUGUUUUUAUUUAUUGUAUUCGCCCCCCACCUGAGCGGGUACUACCAAGGAGCUAUAUGUAGCCAUACAUGCGCGGUCAUGUAUGAAUGUGGUAAAGGAUGAAAGCUCCUUGUGGUUACAUAUAUGAUGGGCCAAAGAGCAUAUCUAAUACCACAUUUAUUUUUUAAGAAAUACUCCUCUGUAAAAAAAGUUGUGUAACUUGAGCAUUCUCUUUUGUGUAACUUGAGCAUUCACAUAUUUUUUUUAAUUCUUCAGGGAUGCUCGACAAAGAGGCAUGGACAGUGCUGUUCUAGGUGACUUUACAAUGAUAUCUACACAAGAACAAGGAAUGUAUGAAUAUCACUUUUUUUUUUUUUACAAAAAUUUAUUUUUUAUGAACAAAAAAAAAUCCGACUUUGAUUUUCUUCAAAAACAUUUUAAAUUGAGAUUUUUGUGUUUUCUUUAAAAUAUAGUAAAUGUAAUUUAGAAGUGGGCAUUUAAGGGGCGUGGGGGUAUUGAAGGUCUUGAGGUAGGCCGGCAUGGUAGCGGGAGUGAGGGUCUUAGCUCCACUGUCCACUUUGGUGAUCAAGGUUAUGGAGGUAAAUUCCAGGGAAAACCUAUGGAAGAGAAAAAUAGUAUUAUUUACAAGGUACUUCAAAGCAUGACAUCCCUCCUGAAAAAGAAGAAGAGCAGGUGCAGGCAACAACACACAGGUAACACUGACAUCAGGGAGGUUGGGGUCCAGCAUCUCACCUGGAUGGUAUCUUUGGUAACAACGCAGUGGCGGAAAGAUCCACAUCACAAGUAGGCUGUCAUGGUAGAAGGCCACUUUACACAGAACAGGAUUUAAAAAAAAAACGGGUAAACACACCCAACUGGUAACUGGCAAACACUCUUCAAUGGGACGCCUUCAACUUGACGUAACUUUGGGAAAAACAGGAUGCUGGCUGUCAACAGGACAGAACUCUGUAAUUUAAAAAAAUAUUUUUUGAAUAAAAAUAUAAAUUAACACUAAUUUACAAAAAAAAAAAGAAAAGGAUUUUAAUUACCUACUGGUAAAUCCUUUUCUCGUAGUCCGUAGAGGAUGCUGGGCGCCCGCCCAACGCUUUGUCUUUUCAGAGAAACUCAGGAGAGCUCCUCAGUGUGUGUCCAGUCUCUCUGGGCACAGAAUCUAACUGGAGUCUGGAGGAGGGGCAUAGAGGGAGGAGCCAGUUCACACCCAUUCAAAGUCUUAUAGUGUGCCCAUGUCUCCUGCGGAUCCCGUCUUUACCCCAUGGUCCUUACGGAGUCCCCAGCAUCCUCUAGGACGUAUGAGAAAAUUCAAGUAUUAAAAAUUUCUUGUCAGCUCACGACAGAAAAACUUGUCUGAGUGAAAUUGUCGACACUCAAAUGCCGAAAAGUCAAAUGUCGGAACGGAUCCGACAAUAAUUUUGUCGAAAAGUGACUUAUUGAAUUGUUGAAAGCGAUUCGACAGUGUUUUUUUGACGGAAAUGGGCCGUUUUCUGACAAAAUAAGGGAUUUGACACCAAUUGAAUAUACCCCUUUAUUGGAAAACACUUCAUCAAACUUGGAAUUUCCAUUUCCACCAUUGCGGCUAUAUGUUUUCACAAAUCUGGUUGUGAUGUUGAAGAUUGUAUCAUAUUCUGCUCUAGGCUUUAGUUUAAACCUAGGAUCAAGUACAGCAGCACCCCUGGAAUUACACGGCAGUGCCUCUGGACUUAUACAGCAGAUAGGCAGCACCUCCGGACUUAUACAGCAUAGGCAGCACCCCCGGAGAAUUACACAGCACAGCAGACAGGCAACAGCACCCCUGGACUUAAACGGCAGUGGGGCAGCACCCCUGGACUGAUAGGGCAGAGGGGCAGCACCCCAUAUAGGGCAGCACCCCUGGAAUGAUGUGGCAGACAAAGAAAAGAUGUGCUAGAUGGAAUUGUCAUUGGCCAUCCCACCCACCCUUAUGUUGUAUAAACAGGACAUGUACACUUUAACAAACCAAUCAUUUCAGCGACAGGGUCUGCCACACGACUGUGACUGAAAUGAUUGGUUUGUUUGGGACCCCACAAAAAAACAAGCAAUUAAUCUCUCCUUGCACAAACUGCCUCUACAGAGGCAAGAUGUUUUCCUCAUCCUCAUCCUCCAAUUCCUCACCCCUUUCAGUGUUUACAUCCUCAUCCUUACAGAGAAAUAAUUCCACACCGAAGAGGUGGAUUUUUCGGUAUUUUGCCCAGGCAUGACAAUGGUCUUUUUCAUCCCAUGGCCAACAACUGUCUCCACUGGUGCCUUAUUCAAACAAACCACAUCACCAUCAGAAUCCUCAACUUCCUGCUCAGCGCCAGAUCCACCAAUAUCCUCCUCUUCCUGGUGUACUUCUACAGUGACAUCCUCAAUCUCAAUAUCAGCAACUGGACUGGCGGUGCUCCUCCCAGCACUUGCAGAGGGCAUGCAAAUGGCGGUAGGAGCCUCCUUUCCCAUACAGUGUUGUGAAGGUCAGGCCUAGACAUCGCAAUAGAGGACACACUUGGACUCUCUUUGGGGAUUUGUGAUAUCUCUGAACGCACAGUUGUUUCCUGUGCUUUAACAAGCUUCUUUUUUUUUUUUUUUUUGAGAGGGAGGAGGGCUUUCAUCUUCACGAGAAGCUGAACCACCAGUCAUGAACAUAGGCCAAGGCCUUAGGUUUUCCUUGCCACUUCGUGUCGUGAAUGGCAUAUUGCCAAUUUUACAUUUCUCAUCAGAUAAUUUUUUUUUUUUUGUUAUUAAUUUUUGCUCCUUGGAUUUUACAUGCUGUCUAUGACAUUGGGCAUCGGCCUUAGCAGACAACGUUGAUGGAAUUGCAUUGUCAAUGUCAUGACUGGUGGCAGCAGCUUCAGCACUAGUGCUAGAAAGUGAUUCCUGAUCUUUCACUAUUUUUUCUCUAAAUUUUUGUUCUUCAUUUCACUGAACAGUGCCCCUUUAUUAUUACAGCACACAGAACAGAGCCCCUUUAUUUUUCCAGCAAAUAGAACAGCUCCCCUUUAUUUUUACAGCACCCCUGUAUUUUAUAGCAUACAGGACAGGGUCACAGCGUUCCUUUUUUUUUAUACAGCACCAGACAGGGCCACAGCGCUCCUUUAUUUUUACAGCACCCCUGUAUUUUUACAGCAUACAGGACAGGGCCAUGAUGUUCCUUUAUUUUUACAGCACCCCUGUAUUUUUACAGCAUACCUGUAUUUUUACAGCACACAGAACAGUGCCCCUUUAUUUUUACAGCACACAGGACAGUGCCCCUUUAUUUUUACAGCACACAGAACAGUGCCCCUGUAACGCAUAGGACUGCAGCACCCCUGUACAGAACCCCAAACAGCACAGGACACAACAGAACAGCACAGGUCAGCACACCCCUGUACAGGAAAGCAGCACCCCUAACAACACAGGACAGCACGACAAAACAGCACAGGACAGCAGCACCCCUAACAGCACAGUACACAACCCCAGAACAGCACAGGACACCAACCCAGAGCAGGACAGGACAGCAGCACUCACAGACAGACAGAAGUCCACUCUCCAAAUCCGGAGUGAAAAUGGCAGCAACACACGGCUCAUUAUAUAGAAUCCAAAACCCGUGAGAUCCGACAGCAGGAUGAUGACGUUUUGCCUCGAUCUGGGAUCCGAGUCUGGUGAGAAGUCCCGAGCCAGACACGGAUCCUGAAGUCCGGGGGGUUCGGGUCUCAAAGAUCCGAACCUGCUCAUCUCUAAUAAAGAUUUGGUAACUCCUUGUCCACGCCUAGAAACCUUCACAUCUAAAUAGCUCUCCUCUGUGUCACUGAAUGAAAAAGUAAACUAAACAGGAACAUUACCACGAUUCUGCUGUUCAAUCAGCUCUAUAAACAACUAUUGAGAGCCCUUCCAAUAUAUUAAGAGAUCUAUAAACCAAGUAUAGGGUAUUAUAUGAACGGGUAAAGAGGGAUAACUAAAGAAUACUACUUCCUCUAUAUCAAACAUGUAAAUAUCAUUAUUAUCCUUUAAUUAUAUGGCACCACAAGGGAACACAGCGCCCAAUUACAGAGUACAUAAACAAAUAAGCAAAACAAAAAAAAACCCGUGACUUAUAGUUCAAGACAAUAUAGGACAAGUACAGGGUAUAUAACCAUAGCUGCAUCAGCAGACAAUACGAAAAUAAGUAUCAGGGUGGCAGAAAACCAAGGGAUUUGGUACUGUCAAAGGGAGCAUGGAAUAGAAGAUAGAGAAGGAAAAUCACAUGAGGGAAGAGGACCCUGCUCGUGAGAGCUUAGAUUCUAAACUGGCGGGGCAGGCAGACAGGUGACACAGAUGGGGUAGACAGUGAGCAUGGGACAGAUAUAUUAGUGUAUGCUGGAGCCACAGGGGACCCCAUAGCACAUCCACUGAUUUGGAGAUAUAAAUUACCAGCAUAAAUAAAGAAUGUCUUUAUCAAAAUCAUUAAUAAUUCCAGUACCAGGUCCGAAUUAGGGCCAUUAUAUAAAGGAUAUGGUGAUAGGGAAAGUCUUGCAGCCAAUAAACUUUCACUGUGCAGUAUAACCGUAUAUAGGCUGCUGACGUCCUGAGUGCACAGCCACACCUCCCCUUCCAACGGCGGCAAAUCUCAAAGUUAUUUUUAUAAUGUUGUUGUAUCCAAUAAGAAACAAGGAUUAUUCUGCGCAUAAGGCUGAAAUAAAGAGUCCAGAAAUGUAGAUGUAGGUUGGAAAAGGGAAUUCCUUGCUGCAAUUUUUGGCGGCCCGAUGGCCCUAUGGAUUUUUGGAGCAGUAUAAUUUAGAGGAGCUACAGGAUACUCAGGCAGGAGAACAUCACGCAAUGUGCUGAAAUACAAUUAUUAGUGACUGCUGUAUCCAAAAGAAUUUGAAGAUCCUUUAAAAACCAUUGUAGGGUCACUUGGCCGUCUCCUAUAUGUCGCCAUGUCACUCAGUUUAUGCUCAAUCUCUCCACAAUAAUCUUUCAAAUCCUCUAGAACUAAUGUCCCUCCCUUAUCAGCGGGACGGAAUAUUAACUCUUUGUUAUUUAAUAACCUCCUCAGGGCAAUCCAUUCAUCAUUAGUUAAGUUAUUGCAUACACCAGGAGUUUGUGGUUGUGUUACUGUGACAUCUAGCAUACAGGUUUUCAUAGUGGCGUUUGAUGAUGGUGGAUCAAACUUAGAUUUCAGUUGUAACUUUUGAAAUUGUACAGAUAAUGGGUCUGUUAUGAGCCACGGCUGUGGCUCAUUUCCAUUUUUGCAUUUUGGUUAUGUAUUUUAUGUUAUACUUCUGUUCAUGUUCCCCGUGGGUGUCAUGGGGUGCUCGGAGCUCACCCUUAAGGAGGGGAUACUGUUAUGAACCACAGGUAGUGGUUCAUUCCUAUUUUAUGUUUAUAAAGUUGUCUUGCACGCCAGGAUUUCCUGUUGCUCUGUUUUAGAAUACUCUUGUCUGCUGCCGCUGGUGAGUCUGUGUAAUUGCAGCUUGUUCCCAUGUGUUCAGCCUCACCUGGCUGCUAAUUGCAUCUUGUCAGUUUGGAGUCAUGCAACAGGGCAGCUGCAUGAGAUUAUUAAUUAGGCCUCUCUGUUAUAUGCUGGCUCAGUGCUAUUCACAGACGCUGGUGAUAUUUCUGGGUAUCCAGUUUGCUUGAGUUCUGAGCUUGGUUCCUGCUAGUUCCUGAGCUUCCUGUGUCGAUUCCUGUGUCAGUCCCUGUGUCGAUUCCUAUGUCUGAUCCCGUGUCCUGCCGUGAGGCAUUCCUGUCCUGAGGUCCAGUGCCUUUGCCUGUGCCUGGUCAAGUUUCUGGCUUCUUGGUGUCCACCGGUCUUUCGUUUGGGAUUCUGCCUGUCCUCCAGUUCUUAGAGUCUGUGUCAGCAGCAUUGGGAGUUCCUGUCCGUUUGCCAGUAUUCGUACCGGUUCCGUGAGUAGCGGCUCUGCCGCGUCCGUCGGCCUAGGCCGCUGUAUUCCAUUAUUAUUUCUGUCACUGGUGUUUUGCAGAGGGUUCUGCUUAUGCUGUCACCGCCGGUACACAAAAGUAUUGUGUGGGCGUGUGGUCAGCAUUUCCUUUGUUGUUCUUUUCCUUUGGCGGCAAACCGCACAUACAUUUAGUUUUAGGCUAGUUAGUAGCCCCUGGCUUUUGGUUGUUUCAGUAAGAGGGCCCCUUGUUAUCACCCUGUCUCGGUACACUCUUUGUCUCUCAUUAAGACCUGAGGGGGCAUCGAAGUUGGGCAGACGUAAUCCGCCCUUCAAACGCGGCUGCCAUGGGCUCAAGCAACCAUAGUCUCGCAAGAGUGUACUGACAGCACGGGCGAGACAACGGAGAUAGGGCGCCAGGGGCUAUUCCCUUUCCAUUCCCCUUUCCCAGCAUUACGUUCCAGUGCUCCGGUCCUUGCAAUAAGAUCUCCUCAGACCAGAGUGCUGGAAUCAUAACAGGGUCAUCUUUAUCAGGAGUGAUAGGUUGUCUUGUAAAUAACUAUUUUAAUUCAGAAUUUACAUUGUAAAUGAUUAAUUUCCACUUGUCAGUUCAGAUGAAUUUGUCGCUACAAAUGAUAAACCUUUUGAAAGUACCUGUUUGUGCAAUUCUGAAUAUGAUGAAAGGCGAGGUAUUGGGGGCCUUUUUCCACUUUUUACUGUCUCUUAUCCACACAUAUUACUUGUUUCUACUUAAAAUUACAGAACUUUCUUCGGGCUGCACCAACUCUGUGGAAUGCCCUCCCAUGCACAAUAAGACUCACCUCUAAUCUCCAAACCUUUAAACGAUCCCUGAAAACUCACUUCUUCAGACAAGCCUAUCAAAUUCCAGACCCAUCGGCAAAACCUUCAAUGCUUACCUUUCUAAUUACUGUAUGUACAUCCUCUCAGUACAGUACACAUAACCUCACAUAUUUUGUCUUUCUUUACUAUCACACCCUCCUGACCCCAGGCCAACAUUGCUAGUUGACCAUAUCAUACACCCCAUUAAGAACCUUUGCAAUCUGGCAGGACCAUUACGCAAUAGGUAACAUCUAUCUAUGUGUAUCAAUGCCUAUUUCCCUAUAGAUUGUAAGCUUGCGAGCAGGGCCCUCCUACCUCUAUGUCUGUUUUUGCCCAGUUUUGUUCUAUUAUUGUUUUAAUUGUAAAGUGCAACGGGAUAUGCUGCGCUAUAUAAGAAACUGAUAAUAAAUAAUAAAUAGAAGAGUCCAUCGCAUGAUGCAUGUUUGGAGUCCUGCAUAAAAAUGAUUGCCGGCCUUCUCUUCCUACUCCUAGCUAUUAGUCGAGCGAUACACCGUGUGAUGCUUAUAAUCCGCCUCUACCUUCAUGAAUAUUUAUCUUGAAUUAUUCAAUUCCCUCUUAUACACCUGAAUUUGGUAAAUAAGUUUUGCAGGGAUGUAGUUGAGAUCCCGGUUUUUGGGGUCCCGGCAGUCAGAAUGCCGAUGAUGGAAUCCUGACAGCUGUAAUCCUGAACAUAAGUAUGCUGGGGAGGUUAGGGUUAGGCUGCGGGGGGCGGGUUCAGAGUUAGGCUGCGGGGAGGGAAGGUUAAAGUUAAGGGUAGGGUUGGGAUUAAGGGUACUUACCACCAGUGCCCCUGUCAGGAUUCCAAGUAGUCUGGAUUCCGUGGUUGGUAUUCUUACCGCCAGCAGCCUCACUGCCGGUAUCCUGUAUCCAACCCGUUUUGUAGACCAGUCGUGUCAGGAUUGUUUUCCACAUUGGAUUUCUGAAUAACUUCAAAAGCCAAUAUGUUCUCUCUGAUGGUCGUCAGCUCCUUAUAUGACUGUGCAGUGUCUUUUGGGCCGGCGCCUAGAGAUAACGUCAUCUCGAAGCGCCGGAAAACCUGGCAGAUCGGGACUCCGGUGCAUCACACUGGGGGCAAGCCCAGCAAUCUGGAAGCUGCUGUGCUGCACGCAGCCUCCGGCGCUGCCGGGCACAAAACACAUGGCUGCUGUCUGCAGUGACAGUGUGUGUUGUGACCCCCCAGCCUCCCGACCACCCACCGGACACUACGGUAUGCCAUGCUUUAAAUGGGUACCGAGUCGAAUGAUCCGGCUUACCCAUUAUGCAGCCUCCUACACGGGUCUUACCCCCAUCCAUCCCUGGUCCAUAGAGGGUUGGAUACCCAGGAAAAUGGACCCGGAGGUUUGGAGAGGGGACUCUUUAACUCUGCCUGCAAUUCGGGGGUUUUGCGUGCUCCUGUAUAAAAACCCGGGAUCUCAGGCAGUGUAAAAGGGGUAUUACAGACACAAUAUGGCAUUUAUAGUCAAUUUCUUUAUCUAAAGUCUCAGCAAAUAUCUGUAUACAUCAUCCAGUACUGCUGAUUCAAUUUGUUCACAAAGCUGAUCCUUAUCGAGAUUUGUUUCUGCAAAAGUGAGAGCAUAUCCCACAGGGAACCGUAAACGACAAUAGCCGUCAGCUGUGUCUUCAGCAGCUGAUACAGACAUACAGUCAUUUAUAUAUGUAUUAAAUAUAAGCCUCAUGUGUUUUUGAGCUGCUGUAUUUGCUCUGGUUACACAAAUAUGUUCCUCGAAUGUUACAAGGUAACAGCAGGUAACAGGUAAUCGCAGUUAACCUGAUUGUCACAGCUCUGGACUUCUUCAGUUAUUCGUGUGUUAUUAUUAUUACAUUUAAUUUAUAGGACGCCACAAGUGUUUUGCAGCACCAUACAUACAGCACACAUUAGAACAAAACAAUACCGGGUACACAAAACUUAACAUUACAGUAACAGAAAAACUAAAACAGAGCACAGGUGACAAUUAGCAACACAAUGCUCAGUACACACUACAGCCAAGAUGUAUGGAAGCAAAGAAGUAAUCUGCGUACUACCAGGGGUGGGCAGCCAUUGGAAAAGAUGAACAGUUACGAGCGAGAGAAGAUGUGGGUAUAGACAGUCACUGAGUAGGAGAGAGCUGUAAUUGAAGUGUGAGAGAAGAGAGUUGUGAGAACAGGAGGGCAGAGCGUCCUGCUCCAAGGAGCUUACAAUCUAGAGGGGGGGGGGGGGGAGACAGACAGGUGACAUGAGUUGCGAGUAAGUGAAAGGCGGUCUGAUGGUAGGAAGUAAGUGAGGAAUAGAUGGCGAAGGCAUGAGGUAGUGUGUUGGGAGAGUGGCCUCAAAACUAGGUUAUGCUGAAGGAUAGGCUUUGAUGAACUGGUGGGUUUUCAGUGCUCGUUUGAAGCUUUGCAAGGUCGUGGAGAGUUUAAUAGAGCCAGGGAGCUCAUUCAAGUGAAGGGGGGCAGCACGGGUAUCUUGAAUUCGCGCAUGGGAUGCAGUUACCAGGGUAGAGGCGACGGUCGUUGGCCGACCGGAGUGGGCGGGAGGGAGUAUGAAGGGAGAGGAGGUUGGAGAUGUAGGGAGCAGUGGAGUUAGAGAGGGCCUUGUACAUGAGGGUGAGGAGUUUGAAGAGGAUUCUGUAGGGGAAUGGGCGCCAGUAUAGGUUUUGUUGAAGAGGAGUGGCAGAUGUGGAGUGGCGGGACAGAAAGAUAAGUUGAGCUGCGGAGUUGAGAACAGAUUGGAGUGGAGCGAGAUGGGAGCAUGGGAGACCAGUGAGGAGAAAGUUGCAUUAGUCGAGCCGUGAGAUGACCAGUGAGUGGAUAAGUUUAGUCGCACUCUGGGAGAGGAACAGCCCGAUCCAAGCGUUGUUGCAUAGCUGGAACCGACAGGCUUGAUCCAGAGACUGAACGUGGGAGGUGAAGGAGAGGGAGGAGUCAAGAGUGACACCCAGGCAUCGGAGUUGGAAAACAGGGAGGAUGAUGGUGUUGUCAACAGUGACAGAGAUAUUAGGAAGGGUGAAGACCCUGGAUGGGGGAAAGAUGAUGAGUUCGGUUUUGUCCAUGUUGAGUUUCAGGGAGCGCUCAGACAUCCAGGAGGAGAUGGCAGAGAGGCAGCUGGAUACUCAGUAUAUGCUUUAUACUAGCCCUCAUAUUUAUUAUUUUAGAGCUGUUAUGAUAGCCACAUAUAAAAUCUCAAUUGCCUCAGUUUAUUGUAUUCUCCGCAUGGGCCAAUAGUAAACUACUUUAUUCCACACCAUAACCAGGGCCAGAUUAACAAUGUGGUAGAUGGAGCUGCAGUGCCAGGCCCUCCACUGAAAAUAGGCCCACAGGCUCCCCUGCAAUGCAGCCAGUGUUGACAGGAAAAAAAAAAAAAACAUUUCCCUGUCACCACAAACAGCAAUGCUCACUCACCUCCCGGCCACCCAAAAUAACAUCACAUAUUUACCCCUGCCGCCAGCCAGCCGCCAGCAUACACACCUACAUCAGGGCCAGUCCAAAGCCCCGUCCCCAAACUCAUCAGAACCCCUGCCUCCAGGACCUUUCGGAAGCUCCCCCCCCCCCCCCCCCCCCCAUCCUGUCUGAAAUUUAUGAUUGGUUAAGUAGCUGGAUCCACAGUAGGGAUUAUCGCUGGUGGCCACUGGGGAUGCCACUAGAGUAGAAGUAGGGAGAGUGGGGAAGGGGGAAGGGAUGACCACCUCCACCACCUGAAUUUAUCUUUACAUCAAUAUUAACAGGCUGACCGGGACAGCGAGCUAUUAGUCGGCUGCUGGGAGAUGCUCAAUGCCGCAUUUUGCAUGUUCCCAUGAAGGCAGUAUGCAGCGACUCCGUUACACCAGGGGUGCAGCUCUUCCUGUGCACAUGUUGUGCCCCCUGACCCCACUUCUGCUCCUCUCCUUUGCCUCUGCUGCUCCUCCCCCUCCCCUCUCAAGACCGUAUGCAUGCCUGAGCCAGCCACCCAUGCGGAGAAAAUGUAGUGUGGUGAGGCAGUGCAGUGCUGUGUAUAGGGAUGUAUUGUGGGGAGGUAGUGCAGUUACACAGUGUGAGGGAGAUAGUGUAGUGAUGUAGUGUGGGAAGGUAGUGCUGGGAUAUAGUGCUGAGAUGCAGUGCCGUAAAUAGAUAUUUUGGUUCCCUGUGUGAGAAAGGGAACUGGUGCCCCCUCCCCAAUCAUAUUCAAAAAAUGAUAGAGUGCCCCAAGUGCAUGCUCCAAAAAUAAAGGGACAUGAGUUCGUGGGGAAUGGGCUUAGCCACAGAAUAGUACCAAUUCACAUUACACCACACAGUAGUGUUGUUAUUCACAUUACACCACACAGUAGUGUUCAUUAUUCACUUUACACCUCACAGUAGUGUCCGUUAUUCACAUUACACCACACAGUAGUGUCCAAUAUUCACAUUACACUGCCCAGUAGUGUCCGUUAUUCACAUUACACUGCACAGCAGUGUCCAUUAUUCACAUAACACCGCACAGUAGUGUCCCCUAUUCACAUUACACUGCACAAUAAAGUCAGUUAUUCAAAUCACAUUGCACAGUAGUGUCCGUUAUUCACAUUAUACUGCACAGUAGUGUCCGUUAUUCACAUUACACUGCACAGUAGUGUCCCCUAUUCACAUUAUACAGCACAGUAGUGUCCAUUAUUCACAUUACACUGCAUAGCAGUGUCCGUUAUUCACAUUACACCGCACAGUAGUGUCUUGUAUUCACAUUACACUGCACAAUAAAGUCAGUUAUUCAAAUCACAUUGCACAGUAGUGUCCGUUAUUCACAUUAUACUGCACAGUAGUGUCCGUUAUUCACAUUACACCGCACAGUAGUGUUCGUUAUUCACAUUAUACUGCGCAGUAGUGUCCCCUAUUCACAUUACACUGCACAGUAGUGUCCGUUAUUCACAUUACACCGCACAGUAGUGUCCGUUAUUCACAUUACACCACACAGUAGCAUCCAUUAUUCAUAUUACAGAGCACAGUAGUGUCCGUUAUUCACAUUAUAAUGCACAGUAGUGUCCCCUAUUCACAUUACACUGCACAGUAAAGUCAGUUAUUCAAAUUACAUUGCACAGUAGUGUCCGUUAUUCACAUUACACUGCACAGUAGUGUCCGUUAUUCACAUUACACCACACAGAAGUGUCCAUUAUUCACAUUACACCGCACAGUAGGGUCCGUUACUCAUGUUACACAGCACAGUAGUGUCUGUUAUUCACAUUGCCAUGCUCAGGUUCAUCCGUUAUUCACAUCACACCACACAGUAAUGUCUGUUAUUCAUGUUACACCACACAGUAGUGUCGUUACUCACAUUACCAUAUACAGUAGUGUCCGUUAUUCACAUUACACCACACAGUAGUGUCUGUUAUCCACAUUACACAGCACAGCAGGGCCCGUUACUCACAUUACACUGCACAUUAGUGUCUGUUAUUCACAUUACACAGCACAGUAGUGUCUGUUAUCCACAUUACACUGCACAGUAGCUUCCAUUAUUCAUGUUACACUGCACAGAAGUGUUCAUUAUGCACAUAACACACCACAGCAGUUUCAUUACUCACAUUACACAGCACAUAUGGACCAAGUUGCAAGAUUCCAAAAAUGGAGAGAUUAAAUUCCCCCCACCUCUGGAGAGUAACCAGCACCAAGAUAAAAGAUGGUGGUAUACUGACCAAAAAGUUGGGUUACCUUCCUAACUAUUAGUAAUAUAUCUGGGUUCUCCACAUAGAUAUGUAAUUAAGGUUCAUAUGGUGCUACCAACUGGUUUAGUUAAGGAUAUAUUGUCAAAUCCCCAUGGAGGACGACAAGAGAAAGAAACCAGUUAUAACUGGGGUGCACACAACCCAACCAAUAAUAAAUAUAAUACCUUAUUACGGAUUUAUUGAAGCUCCCCCAUAUUGAUAUUAUCCAAUAGAGGCUAAAAUGCCCACACACCUCGUAGUAUAAAUUAAGAUUUUUUUUUUGUCCUUUAAUGUUUGACAAGCGAAGUAUUAAAAUCAGAAAAAUGUGAAAAAGAAUGAGAAAACAAAUAUUGUGAAUAAAGAUUAACAACAAUUA